GACGAAGGGUGCAAGCGUUACUCGGAAUUACUGGGCGUAAAGCGUGCGUAGGUGGUUCUUUAAGUCGGUUGUGAAAGCCCUGGGCUCAACCUGGGAAUGGCAAUGGAUACUGGGAAGCUAGAGUGCGGUAGAGGGUAGUGGAAUUCCCGGGGUAGCGGUGAAAUGCGUAGAGAUCGGGAGGAACACCAGUGGCGAAGGCGGCUCCCUGGGCCAGAACUGACACUGAGGCACGAAAGCGUGGGGAGCAAACAGG
Molecule: ribosomal RNA, 253 nt
Filed under: uncultured bacterium
Lineage: Bacteria
Description: partial 16S ribosomal RNA
Rfam family: Bacterial small subunit ribosomal RNA
Source: RNAcentral